This 312-nucleotide ribosomal RNA is filed under the name uncultured Pseudomonadota bacterium. Its description in RNAcentral is "bacterial SSU rRNA". It matches the Rfam family "Bacterial small subunit ribosomal RNA", at positions 143 to 488 of the family's 1533-position model. Lineage: Bacteria; Pseudomonadati; Pseudomonadota. The record is from RNAcentral.
AUAACACGAGGAAACUUGUGCUAAUACCGGAUAAGUCUUUACGGAGAAAGCUUUAUGCACCAUUGGAUGAGCCUGCACUUGAUUAGUUUGUUGGUGGGGUAAUGGCCUACCAAGACUGUGAUCAAUAGCUGAUUUGAGAGGAUGAUCAGCCACAUUGGGACUGAGACACGGCCCAAACUCCUACGGGAGGCAGCAGUGGGGAAUCUUGCACAAUGGAGGAAACUCUGAUGCAGCGAUGCCGCGUGAGUGAAGAAGGCCUUUGGGUUGUAAAGCUCUUUCGUCGGGGAAGAAAAUGACUGUACCCGAAUAAGA